This 559-nucleotide small RNA is filed under the name Pongo abelii (Sumatran orangutan). RNAcentral describes it as "retained intron". The record is from RNAcentral. Lineage: Eukaryota; Metazoa; Chordata; Mammalia; Primates; Hominidae.
UUUUGUAUUCUUAAUAGAGAUGGGGUUUUGCCAUGUUGCCCAGGCUGAUCUCAAACUCCUGACCUCAAGUGAUCUGCCCGCCUCAGCCUCCCAAAUUGUUGGGAUUACAGGUGUGAGCCACCACACCCGGCCUUGGGCUUAGGAUUCUCAGUCCAGAACAGUCUUGGCGGGGAAGGGGCUCAGGGUCUGGAGCCUCCCUCACUAGUCUGCGUGUGCUGCUCUUCCAGGGGGAGGUGACCAUCCACUACAACAAGCUGCAGGCGGACCCCAAGCAGGGCAUGUCCCUGGACAUUGUGUUGAAGAAAGUCAAGCACCGGCUGGUGGAGAACAUGAGUUCAGGGACUGCAGAUGCUCUGGGCCUGAGCCGGGCCAUCCUGUGCAAUGAUGGGCUUGUCAAGAGGCUAGAGGAGCUGGAGCGGACCGCCGAACUGUACAAAGGGAUGACGGAACACACCAAGAACCUCCUACGGGCCUUUUAUGAGCUGUCGCAGACUCACCGGGCCUUUGGGGACGUGUUCUCCGUGAUCGGGGUGCGGGAGCCCCAGCCAGCUGCGAGCGA